Molecule: long non-coding RNA, 485 nt
Organism: Harpia harpyja (harpy eagle)
Lineage: Eukaryota; Metazoa; Chordata; Aves; Accipitriformes; Accipitridae
Exons: 3
Source: RefSeq, a predicted model, not a curated record
UGGGGCGGGCCUCCCCGCGCCCGUGGGAUGAGUCCGGCCCUGGCGGGCGAAGCGCCGCCGUCACCAUCCCCAGGAGACGACGGCGGGGUGCGCUAAGUGCUGAGUUUCCUGCAUUUCAACUGUUGCAGUGCAAAGAUGAAACAGAGGAUGCUGAUGUUGCUUUUAACACUACAAGACAUUUGUGAGCUCCAGUAAGGGUAGCACCACUGAUUCAGUGUACUGGAGACCAGGAAACCAUAAAGCCCAUUAAAACACAACUGGAACCAAGAGGGGAAGAAGGAGCCUAUCAUGUGUCCCAACAAAGACAACCCUGAAGGAAGAAAAGAGCACAUAAAGGCAUGGCGUGCCAGCCUAGGCAGGCUAAAGUAAGAGUGUUUCUGCAAUAGCUUUAGGCAAGCUGUGUUUGCAGAGUGCCUAGAUCACUGAGGUCAUGGUUACAGCCUGUAAAUGCUGUUAAAUCGCCAUUAAAACUCAGCUUUCCUCGG